This 899-nucleotide ribosomal RNA is filed under the name Penicillium sclerotiorum. Its description in RNAcentral is "partial large subunit ribosomal RNA". It matches the Rfam family "Eukaryotic large subunit ribosomal RNA", at positions 43 to 959 of the family's 3401-position model. Lineage: Eukaryota; Fungi; Ascomycota; Eurotiomycetes; Eurotiales; Aspergillaceae. The record is from RNAcentral.
UCAAUAAGCGGAGGAAAAGAAACCAACCGGGGAUUGCCCCCAGUAACGGCGAGUGAAGCGGCAAGAGCUCAAAUUUGAAAGCUGGCUCCUUCGGGGUCCGCAUUGUAAUUUGCAGAGGAUGUUUCGGGAGUGGCCCCCAUCUAAGUGUCCUGGAACGGACCGUCAUAGAGGGUGAGAAUCCCGUAUGGGAUGGGGUGCCCACGCCCGUGUGAAACUCCUUCGACGAGUCGAGUUGUUUGGGAAUGCAGCUCUAAAUGGGUGGUAAAUUUCAUCUAAAGCUAAAUAUUGGCCGGAGACCGAUAGCGCACAAGUAGAGUGAUCGAAAGAUGAAAAGCACUUUGAAAAGAGAGUUAAAAAGCACGUGAAAUUGUUGAAAGGGAAGCGUUUGCGAUCAGACUCGCCGACGGGGUUCAGCCUGCCUUCGGGCAGGUGUACUUCCCCGCCGGCGGGCCAGCGUCGGUUUGGGUGGCCGGUCAAAGGCCCUAGGAAUGUAACGCCUCUCGGGGCGUCUUAUAGCCUAGGGUGUCAUGCGGCCUACCCGGACCGAGGAACGCGCUUCGGCUCGGACGCUGGCAUAAUGGUCGUAAACGACCCGUCUUGAAACACGGACCAAGGAGUCUAACAUCUAUGCGAGUGUUCGGGUGUCAAACCCGUGCGCGAAGUGAAAGCGAACGGAGGUGGGAACCCUUUGGGUGCACCAUCGACCGAUCCUGAUGUCUUCGGAUGGAUUUGAGUAAGAGCAUAGCUGUUGGGACCCGAAAGAUGGUGAACUAUGCCUGAAUAGGGCGAAGCCAGAGGAAACUCUGGUGGAGGCUCGCAGCGGUUCUGACGUGCAAAUCGAUCGUCAAAUUUGGGUAUAGGGGCGAAAGACUAAUCGAACCAUCUAGUAGCUGGUUCCU